GUUGUAGCUCAGUUGGUUAGAGCGCUGGAUUGUGGUUCCAGAGGUCGCCGGUUCAAAUCCGGUCAUC
Molecule: transfer RNA, 67 nt
Filed under: uncultured Phaeodactylibacter sp.
Lineage: Bacteria; Pseudomonadati; Bacteroidota; Saprospiria; Saprospirales; Haliscomenobacteraceae
Rfam family: tRNA
About the family: Transfer RNA (tRNA) molecules are approximately 80 nucleotides in length. Their secondary structure includes four short double-helical elements and three loops (D, anti-codon, and T loops).
Source: RNAcentral